This 254-nucleotide ribosomal RNA is filed under the name uncultured bacterium. RNAcentral's name for it is "partial 16S ribosomal RNA". It matches the Rfam family "Bacterial small subunit ribosomal RNA", at positions 524 to 776 of the family's 1533-position model. The record is from RNAcentral.
UACGUAGGGGGCGAGCGUUGUCCGGAUUUAUUGGGCGUAAAGAGCUCGUAGGCGGUUCGAUAAGUCGGACGUGAAAUCUCCACGCUCAACGUGGAGGUGCCGUUCGAUACUGUCGUGACUCGAGUCCGGUAGGGGAGUGUGGAAUUCCCGGUGUAGCGGUGAAAUGCGCAGAGAUCGGGAGGAACACCCGUAGCGAAGGCGGCACUCUGGGCCGGUACUGACGCUGAGGAGCGAAAGCGUGGGGAGCAAACAGG